UCUUCUUCUCCCUUCGUUCGUGGUUCUUCUUCUUCCUUAGUGGGUCCUGCUCCUCCGUUCCUGGUUCUUUUUCUUCGUGACUCCUGUUCCUUCGUUGUUGCUUCUUCUUUGUUCUCCUUCAAGGUAAGUAUUCUCCUUAUGAUUGUUUGUGCAUUGUUGCUCCUUCGUUCGUGUUGUUUGUGCUGGUAUUCUGAGCAUGACCAUUUUGGGUGAAAAAAAUCAUACAGAUUAGCAAUCCGUAUGGGUACGAAUCAACAAUCUGUAUGGGUCAUAUGGUCAUACGGAUUGUCAAUCCGUAUGGGUCGUAUGGAUUGUCAAUUCGUAUGAACCAUACAGAUUAUUGAUGAAACAGACGUUAAUGUUCAUCGUCCUGGACAUGCAAUGAUAAUAUAUUUUUUUUGGUAUUUUGUGUUUGUUGUUUUAUUUUUUAUUUUAUUAAUAGUUGUUAUGUUUUUUUUUUUUACUUGAUGGUUAUGUAGCAAUUGCUGAUAAGUUGGAGAGGCUAGUAAACCUGAGGAUCCUGACCGAAGGAACAAAAGUCUAUACUAUUGUUGAAGAAUGUCUGAGCAUCACAAGAAGCUACAUUAACCAACUAACUGUAGGUCACAGAUUGAGGCGUAGGCGGCAUACGGACGAUCAUUGAAGUUUUUUUUUUGCCUUAUAUAUGUCAAUUUUAAUUUUUUGAAUAAUUUUUUUAUUUGGCACAUUUAUGUAUUCACAGUGACAUUUGGUUAAUUUAUAAUUUUGGUGUGUAA
This 755-nucleotide long non-coding RNA is filed under the name Glycine max (soybean). RNAcentral's name for it is "long non-coding RNA (GMAX_LNC001582)". The record is from RNAcentral. Lineage: Eukaryota; Viridiplantae; Streptophyta; Magnoliopsida; Fabales; Fabaceae.